This 24-nucleotide unclassified non-coding RNA is filed under the name Mus musculus (house mouse). Its description in RNAcentral is "oocyte_clustered_small_RNA10316". Lineage: Eukaryota; Metazoa; Chordata; Mammalia; Rodentia; Muridae. The record is from RNAcentral.
UCCACCUGAGUUGCCUCUUCAGUC